GCCGCCGCGGUAAUACGUAGGUGGCAAGCGUUGUCCGGAAUUAUUGGGCGUAAAGCGCGCGCAGGCGGUCCUUUAAGUCUGAUGUGAAAGCCCACGGCUCAACCGUGGAGGGUCAUUGGAAACUGGGGGACUUGAGUGCAGAAGAGGAAAGUGGAAUUCCAAGUGUAGCGGUGAAAUGCGUAGAGAUUUGGAGGAACACCAGUGGCGAAGGCGACUUUCUGGUCUGUAACUGACGCUGAGGCGCGAAAGCGUGGGGAGCAAACAGGAUUAGAUACCCC
Molecule: ribosomal RNA, 278 nt
Filed under: uncultured bacterium
Lineage: Bacteria
Description: partial 16S ribosomal RNA
Rfam family: Bacterial small subunit ribosomal RNA
Source: RNAcentral